Molecule: long non-coding RNA, 234 nt
Filed under: Lathyrus oleraceus (garden pea)
Lineage: Eukaryota; Viridiplantae; Streptophyta; Magnoliopsida; Fabales; Fabaceae
Description: Pisum sativum (pea) long non-coding RNA (PSAT_LNC008090)
Source: RNAcentral
ACAUACCACACACAAAAAUAAUAUGCAAAAGAAGUGGCCUAAUCUCAUCCAUACUUAUGUUGAUUUUUCAACCAACUAGCCUUAGGACUUUGAGAUAUCAUAGGUCAAAUGAGAUGAAUGCAUAAAGAAUGAGAAUGAGAUGAAGAGGGAGGGGAGUGGAUCAAAACUCAAAUUGGUCAAAGGAGGACUUUUACCAAAUUAAUAUCAUCCAUUCAUUUUUGGAGAUGGAAUGUA